This is a long non-coding RNA of Clupea harengus (Atlantic herring), 2639 nucleotides long. NCBI's taxonomy places the organism in Eukaryota, Metazoa, Chordata, Actinopteri, Clupeiformes, Clupeidae. The record is from Ensembl.
CCUCUGUUUAGACUCUAGAAUUCGCAUUCUCCGGCUUGCUUGACUGUACUUGACUGUCUGUUGAGCAAGUUGUUUUGUGUCGUUACCUACCAGUAAAACUCAACCUUGUUACAACAAAUUGCUUCGUAUGGUGGUUCCUCUCCGAAACAACACGCAGAGUAUUUUUUCCUAACAAUUGGUGACCCCGACGCUGAACUGAGGAGAGGUGGACCAACCAGACCCUCACCUGGAGCACGAGGCUCAGAGUGGGGCUUCGAGAUCUUUGGCGGCAGACAAAAAGCAGGCCUGCGAGAAAAAUAAGGUGAGGACAAACCUAUUUUAUUGAAUUGUCCAUAGAUUAGAAUAUUGAUUAGUUAGUUUUUGUCUGUCAUCUUGGAUCUUGAAGGAAGCAGCAAGUGCGAGUGGAUGGUGGAUAGUGAUACAAAUCCACAAAAGCCUUUGUGAAUUGUCAGUUUUAAAUAGGAAAAAGCAUUAGUAGGUACUGUAAAAGGCCUGACUACCUAAACAUUAGGUUUAGAGGGAGGAGGGAGAUUAGUAGGUCUGCAUAAUAGACCUGACUACCUAAACAUUAGGUUUAGAGGGAAGAGUGAGAGAUUAGUACGGACUGCGUAACAGACCAGAGUUCCUAAACGGGGGGUGAGCAUGGUUGACCCUUCCGCGUAGCAACUGAAGUAGAUAAUCGAAGUAGUGUCUGAGCUCGUUAGCCUACUCUUGACCUACAAUUUAGCCUACAUCCCGGAUGUGCUCACCCUCUGGGUUAGAGGUAAAGGAUAAGCGUGUAACGCGACCAAGCACGGUUAGCGCGUGUAAAGCGAGUAGCGCAAAUUUUUCAAAUGUAAAUAGGGCAAAGGCGUGUAAAUAGGAUAAAGAAGGGUAGAAUUGAGUGCAGAGAGACACACAGCUGGCACUGCGCCACGCACAGUUCUGUGUAUAAAUCAGGAGGAAGUUUGAAUUUUCAGACACCCGACUCCUGUCUUUAUACAGAACUAUAGGACAGAAGUGAAUAUUUGUAAGAGAUAGUCUUUCAAAAGAUAAGUGACUUGCAAAUAAAUAAUAGAAGUAAUACCCACAACUGUUGUGUUCAGCAAAAGUGUCAAAUUAAGAUCAGAAGUACUCAGAUGAUAGAUUAAAUCAGUGAUAUAGCACUGAUUUAACACUGAUAUAACACACCUUUGUUACGUCUGAAUGGGUAAGCUUUCGGUGGAUGCAAGAAUCCAACAAAAAGCCGGAUUAGUGGACCAUUCAGACUAACUCAGUGUGUUUAGUAAAACCUUGUUUGUGUAUCUGCAAUUCCCUUCGGUGGGCUCAUGAACCCCUUGGCCGUACAGGAAACUGUAUUAAUAAGGCACCGGAUUGGCGAGGAGUGAUAAAAGCAAACAAGGUUCAGAAAACAAUUAAAAAAAAAAAAAAAAAAAAAGAGAAAAGAAAACGGGGGAAGGGAAAAGGCCUAAUUGAUUAUAAAGGCCUAGUUCUGAUCAAAAAAGUUUCUAUAACAGGUCUAAUUGGUUAUAAGGGCCUGUUUCUGAUAAAAACACAACUGUGGGGCAAGCAUCUAUAUUUAGUCAACCAUAGAUGAACGUAGAGGAGUUAGAGAGGGAGUUAGAGUUAGAGAAUAAAACUCCAACAGCUAUCAGGGGUGAUUACAGAAUAAUAGCACCCAAGAGCCGUUGGUGGUUGGAUACAUUGUUAACUUACCCAGGCAAAACAGGGGCUGAGAUAAUAAGAAAACACGUAGUAGUGGUGGGAGCGAGUGCAGGGUACCUAAGAAGUCACUGCCCAUAUCAGGAGGAAAACAUAUUGGAGUGGUUAUCCUCGUUUGAGAACCGUCUGAUCAAUCCACGAUAUUUAUUAGGAUUAUUUGACACAGUCUACGAAAAAUCACUUCUCCCUCCAAAACAGGGAGGGAAAAAACACGAAGUUAAGUGGACAGUAAAACUAAAAGAGUUCUAUUACUGGCUCCACGACGACCCCAUAGCUUUUGGAAACGCAGUUUGGGCGCCCGUAGAGAAAAGACAGAAAAAAGGGAGACCAGAAAUUUGGUACGAGAAGAUUCAGAUAACUGUAAUACCCCUCUGGGAGCGUAAAACGUGGGGAGACGGUGAUAUUUGGUUCCCGCCACCACAAGUGAGGGGACACAUAAAUUUAAACAGUUUACAAAUCAAUGGUGAGAAACCUAGAUUCGCAGAAAUCACAGAGAGAAUACUAGGGGGCAUUAUAGUAGGUUGGGACCUGAUAAAUCCAGUACUUAACCCUAGACUUGCGUUGGCAGUAGACCGAGGAAGUGUAGCCAGUGCAGGUUGAGUUAUGGCAGACCAAGCAAACCCGAGAUCAGGGACAGCAGGUCAAUUGGUGCUGGACAUUAAAGAGCAUUUUGACAAAAACAAUGCAAAGGCGGUUGCAAAGGACAAAAUCAGGAACUUAGAAAAGCUAAUAAAAGAUUGGAUUAAGAGAGGAUGGUAUCCCGAAGCAGACAAACCUGUUCCAACCAGAGAAGAUUGUGUAAUGUUGAGACAGCGUUCAACAGAUGAGAUGGAACAGAAAAAGAGGAAGAUAGAUGAGAAAAACUUCCUCCAGUCGAAAAGACAUGCCCGAGAUGACUGGAGUGAUGAGAAUAUAUUUAGAGACGAAAUAAUGGGGAU